RNAcentral lists this ribosomal RNA (254 nucleotides) under uncultured bacterium. RNAcentral's name for it is "partial 16S ribosomal RNA". It matches the Rfam family "Bacterial small subunit ribosomal RNA", at positions 524 to 776 of the family's 1533-position model. The record is from RNAcentral.
UACGUAGGGUGCGAGCGUUGUCCGGAAUUAUUGGGCGUAAAGGGCUCGUAGGCGGUUUGUCGCGUCGGGAGUGAAAUCCACUGGCUUAACUGGUGGCUUGCUUUCGAUACGGGCAGACUGGAGGUAUGCAGGGGAGAACGGAAUUCCUGGUGUAGCGGUGAAAAUGCGCAGAUAUCAGGAGGAACACCGGUGGCGAAGGCGGUUCUCUGGGCAUUACCUGACGCUGAGGAGCGAAAGUGUGGGGAGCGAACAGG